This 433-nucleotide ribosomal RNA is filed under the name uncultured bacterium. RNAcentral describes it as "partial 16S ribosomal RNA". It matches the Rfam family "Bacterial small subunit ribosomal RNA", at positions 29 to 507 of the family's 1533-position model. The record is from RNAcentral.
AGCGAACGCUGGCGGCAGGCCUAACACAUGCAAGUCGAACGAACUCUUCGGAGUUAGUGGCGGACGGGUGAGUAACACGUGGGAACGUGCCUUUUGGUUCGGAAUAACUCAGGUAAACUUGUGCUAAUAUCGAAUGUGCUCUUCGGGGGAAAGAUUUAACGCCAUUGGAGCGGCCCGCGUCUGUUUGGCUAGUUGGUGAGGUAACGGCUCAUCAAGGCGACGAUCAGUAGCUGGUCUGAGACGAUGACCAGACACACUGGGACUGGGACACGGCCCAGACUCCUACGGGAGGCAGCAGUGGGUAAUCUUGCGCAAUGGGCGAAAGCCUGACGCAGCCAUGCCGCGAGAAUGAUGAAGGUCUUAGAAUUGUAAAAUUCUUUCACCGGGGACGAUAAUGACGGUACCCGGAGAAGAAGCCCCGGCUAACUUCGUG